UACGUAGGGCGCAAGCGUUAUCCGGAAUUAUUGGGCGUAAAGAGCUCGUAGGCGGUUUGUCGCGUCUGCCGUGAAAGUCCGGGGCUCAACUCCGGAUCUGCGGUGGGUACGGGCAGACUAGAGUGAUGUAGGGGAGACUGGAAUUCCUGGUGUAGCGGUGAAAUGCGCAGAUAUCAGGAGGAACACCGAUGGCGAAGGCAGGUCUCUGGGCAUUAACUGACGCUGAGGAGCGAAAGCGAGGGGAGCAAACAGG
This 253-nucleotide ribosomal RNA is filed under the name uncultured bacterium. RNAcentral's name for it is "partial 16S ribosomal RNA". It matches the Rfam family "Bacterial small subunit ribosomal RNA", at positions 524 to 776 of the family's 1533-position model. The record is from RNAcentral.